AUUGAACGCUGGCGGCAGGCCUAACACAUGCAAGUCGAGCGGAUGAAGGGAGCUUGCUCCUGGAUUCAGCGGCGGACGGGUGAGUAAUGCCUAGGAAUCUGCCUGGUAGUGGGGGAUAACGUCCGGAAAAGGGCGCUAAUACCACGUACGUCCUGAGGGAGAAAGUGGGGGGUCUUGGGACCUCCUCGGCGAGUGUGGGCCUAGUCGGGGUUAGUCAGUUGGUGGGGUAAAGACCUACUAAGCCGAGCUUCGGUAACUGGUCUGAGAGGGUGGUCAGUCACACUGGAACUGAGACAGGGUCCAGACUCCUACGGGAGGCAGCAGUGGGGAAUAUUGGACAAUGGGCGAAAGCCUGAUCCAGCCAUGCCGCGUGUGUGAAGAAGGUCUUCGGAUUGUAAAGCACUUUAAGUUGGGAGGAAGGGCAGUAAGUUAAUACCUUGCUGUUUUGACGUUACCAACAGAAUAAGCACCGGCUAACUUCGUG
RNAcentral lists this ribosomal RNA (484 nucleotides) under uncultured bacterium. Its description in RNAcentral is "partial 16S ribosomal RNA". It matches the Rfam family "Bacterial small subunit ribosomal RNA", at positions 30 to 507 of the family's 1533-position model. The record is from RNAcentral.